This 395-nucleotide ribosomal RNA is filed under the name uncultured bacterium. RNAcentral's name for it is "bacterial SSU rRNA". It matches the Rfam family "Bacterial small subunit ribosomal RNA", at positions 29 to 428 of the family's 1533-position model. The record is from RNAcentral.
AUUGAACGCUGGCGGAAUGCUUUACACAUGCAAGUCGAGCGGCAGCGCGGGGCAACCUGGCGGCGAGCGGCGAACGGGUGAGUAAUACAUCGGAACGUGCCCAGACGUGGGGGGAUAACUACUCGAAAGAGUGGCUAAUACCGCAUACGAUCUAAGGAUGAAAGCGGGGGAUCGCAAGACCUCGCGCGUUUGGAGCGGCCGAUGGCAGAUUAGGUAGUUGGUGGGGUAAAGGCUUACCAAGCCCGCGAUCUGUAGCUGGUCUGAGAGGACGACCAGCCACACUGGGACUGAGACACGGCCCAGACUCCUACGGGAGGCAGCAGUGGGGAAUUUUGGACAAUGGGCGAAAGCCUGAUCCAGCCAUACCGCGUGCGGGAAGAAGGCCUCGGUUGUAA